RNAcentral lists this long non-coding RNA (211 nucleotides) under Sorghum bicolor (sorghum). RNAcentral describes it as "long non-coding RNA (SBIC_LNC012142)". Lineage: Eukaryota; Viridiplantae; Streptophyta; Magnoliopsida; Poales; Poaceae. The record is from RNAcentral.
CUCCUACACUAGGAGGGAAUACCCAAAAAUAUCGAUUGACAUUAUGUCUUAUUCUACUUAUCCAAUAAAGCUCUAGUUAUUUUAGUUGAUACUCCCUAUUGUUAUCAGUAAAUUAAAAGGGUUGGCUGAUAUUUCAAAAAAAGAGAAAAGAAAGAAAGAGGACAAAAGUCCCAAUGCAAAAGAAAAGGAAGACAGCCAAGUCCUUAUUCUC